GGCAGGAUGAUCACAAGUUUCAGGCCAGCCUGGGUAACUUAGUGAGACCUCGUCUCAAAAUAAAAAAAUAUGAUGAAGUACUAGAAUGCAGCUCAGUGUUGGAGCACUUCCCUAACAUUCAUUAGGUCCUCGGUUCAAUUCCCAGUACCAUGAAAAAAAGUAGCCAGCACCUUCACCCAUACAUUGUGGCACUCAGGGUGGGUGAGGAUGGAACAUAACGUCGCUGCUCAGAGCAACAGUCUACCCUGUGUUAUGGAAAGGACAGCUUUGCAGCAGAGGGACAUGUGCCCUGGCAAAGGUGUAUGCCGAAUGUCUCAUCAGAAAGCCAGAUGAGGGAAG
Molecule: long non-coding RNA, 339 nt
Filed under: Fukomys damarensis (Damara mole-rat)
Lineage: Eukaryota; Metazoa; Chordata; Mammalia; Rodentia; Bathyergidae
Description: lncRNA (ENSFDAG00000029688.1)
Source: RNAcentral